GAUAUUAAAGAAGGUUUAUAUUAAACAUGGUUUAUGUGAGAAAUGAUUUAUUGAUUUAUUGUUAAUACUUUAUAACUUAAGGUUUAUACUUUAGAACUGAA
Chelonoidis abingdonii (Abingdon island giant tortoise) is the source of this 101-nucleotide non-coding RNA. The record is from RefSeq and is a predicted model, not a curated record. NCBI's taxonomy places the organism in Eukaryota, Metazoa, Chordata, Testudines, Testudinidae.